Molecule: ribosomal RNA, 253 nt
Filed under: uncultured bacterium
Lineage: Bacteria
Description: partial 16S ribosomal RNA
Rfam family: Bacterial small subunit ribosomal RNA
Source: RNAcentral
UACGGAGGGUGCGAGCGUUAAUCGGAAUAACUGGGCGUAAAGGGCACGCAGGCGGGGUGUUAAGUGAGAUGUGAAAUCCCCGGGCUUAACCUGGGAAUUGCAUUUCAGACUGGGAGUCUAGAGUACUGUAGGGAGGGGUAGAAUUCCACGUGUAGCGGUGAAACGCGUAGAGAUGUGGAGGAAUACCGAAGGCGAAGGCAGCCCCGUGGGAAUGGACUGACGCUCAUGUGCGAAAGCGUGGGGAGCAAACAGG